UUUUUUUUUCUAUUUGACUACAAAAUCUGAUAUUUUAUAUUCAAUAGGAACGAUGGCAAAUGCAAAAGAAAAGGGCAAAUUGUGUGAUCAAAUACAACUCCCUGUAAACAAAGAUGGGUUGUGUGUUGAUUCUGAAUGCCAAAAUAAGUGUCGCGAGGCAAAAGGACCGAAGGGGUUGAGUAAAUGUUUUGGGUCAAAAGCCAAAAAGUCUAUGAAUUGCUAUUGCGGAAUUCUUUGUUAACGUGCUGGUUAAGUAUGGUGAAUAAAUAUGAUGCUCAACCAUGAUAGCUUUGAAGUAUUUUUUUUUAUUUUUCUCUGUUUUUUUUCCUGUACUAGAAAAACACUAUAAUAUUUUUAUUCGAAGCCUUAUAAUAAAGUAUUGAAAUGUUUGUUUCGGAUUUGUUGCAUUAUUUAUAAUAAUGAAUAACAUAAAUUUUAAUCAAGACACAAUGGUUAGUAUAAUCAGUGAACUUUUAUCUUUUUAUUGUAUUUAGUUAAUUCCGGCCAAUUGAACUUAAUAUCUUGUUCACUUAUUUUUUCUAUUUGGGCUAAAAUAAUAUUACCGUCCACAAAAAUAAGAAUCUGAAAGUGAAAUUAACUUUCUGAUUUUUUUUUUAAAUAUAUCAAUGACAAACCAUUCUUUAAAAUCCGACCCCAGUGAAAACGUCGUAUGUUACUAAAGGAAAGAAAGACAAAUGAAAAAAAAGAAUAAUUAAUUCCCUAGACAUUAUUUGAGAAGUAAUUUAUCAUAUGUCAUCACCAAAAUGAUUUUGAAAGAAAAAUGAUAACAUGGACUAUAACUAAUUAUGACAUGAAUAUUUACAUUUAAUGUUAUUUAUAUUUUUAGUAAGUUUUUUAGAAUAAGGUAAUACCUCAUAAAUAUAACUAAUUUAAAAAUAAAUAAUUUAAUAAAAAUUUAAAAAUAAUAUUUUUUUUUAAAAUCGAUAAAUAUGAUGCUCAACCAUGAUAGCUUUGAAGUAUUUUUUUUUAUUUUUCUCUGUUUUUUUUCCUGUACUAGAAAAACACUAUAAUAUUUUUAUUCGAAGCCUUAUAAUAAAGUAUUGAAAUGUUUGUUUCGGAUUUGUUGCAUUAUUUAUAAUAAUGAAUAACAUAAAUUUUAAUCAAGACACAAUGGUUAGUAUAAUCAGUGAACUUUUAUCUUUUUAUUGUAUUUAGUUAAUUCCGGCCAAUUGAACUUAAUAUCUUGUUCACUUAUUUUUUCUAUUUGGGCUAAAAUAAUAUUACCGUCCACAAAAAUAAGAAUCUGAAAGUGAAAUUAACUUUCUGAUUUUUUUUUUAAAUAUAUCAAUGACAAACCAUUCUUUAAAAUCCGACCCCAGUGAAAACAUCGUAUGUUACUAAAGGAAAGAAAGACAAAUGAAAAAAAAGAAUAAUUAAUUCCCUAGACAUUAUUUGAGAAGUAAUUUAUCAUAUGUCAUCACCAAAAUGAUUUUGAAAGAAAAAUGAUAACAUGGACUAUAACUAAUUAUGACAUGAAUAUUUACAUUUAAUGUUAUUUAUAUUUUUAGUAAGUUUUUUAGAAUAAGGUAAUACCUCAUAAAUAUAACUAAUUUAAAAAUAAAUAAUUUAAUAAAAAUUUAAAAAUAAUAUUUUUUUUUAAAAUCGAAAUUUAUAUAAUUCUGUUUAUAUAUUUUUAUUACAAAAACAAAACGUCAAAAUUUUAGGCAGAUUGUUUUUUAAAAAUUAAUUGUAAUUUUUAAUCCCACUACCAUUAAUUUCUUUUUAAUUUUCUUUUUUUUGACAGCAAGAAAAUUUACAUACUCAUAAAGACUCCGUAAACCAAGGUAGUAACUCUGUAUCCAUGUGUAUGACGAACGACGGUUGUAUCCUAGCACUGCGUGCCAAGCGAUCCGCCAUUUUAUUGUCCGUCCUCGAUACAUGAAUAACUUCUGAAUUGGUGAAGCUUCUUCUCAAAAGUAUGAUAUCCUCCAGGUAACUCCCAAAUGCUGGCCAUUCCUCUGGUUCCGAAACCAUCUUCACCAGUUGAGAACAAUCCGUUGCGAACGUAACCUGAAACUGUCUUAAAUUUUUCAUACAUUCCAUUGCCCAAGUCAGUGCUUCUAUCUCCGCAUGAAGAGGUGAUAAACUUGCCCUUAUGUUUCUUGCCCCUAACAGUCUCUCAAACCCUGGAAGUGUACUGAGCCAACCUUGGCCUGAGAAACCAUCUUUAUCCUUCCAAGAACCAUCCGUAAAACACCAUCUACCUGUAGUCACUAAGGGCAAUCUGCCUUGAACUUCAGGAAUGACCCUUGGAUUAUUGAGAUUCUGCGCUUCAUUCCAGAGUCUAGACUCUAAUUCUGCUAAUUUUAACGUCUCUCUCGGCUCAACAUCAAUAUUACUGAAAACCUUAUUAUUCCUGCCCUUCCAAAUAUACCAUAGUAUCCAUGCAAACUGAUGAUCCUCCAUUUUCGAGUUAACUCUCCAAAACAAAUGAUCCAUAUUAGUAAAAAGGGAACCAGUUGGAAAAAUAUUUGGAUUUGAUGGAAUCCUUGAUAGUGCCCACACUUGUCAUGCCGGAGGACAUUCAAAAAAAACAUGAUUAACUGAUUCCUCUGGAUUUCCACACCGUGCACAAACAGUAUCUCCUUGUAUUCCUCUUGAUUUUAAGUUCUUUGUCACUGCUAUACAACCUGUUAUCAACUGCCAUAUAAAAUGCCGUAACUUUGGAGGGCACUUAACUUUCCAACAAAAAGCCUAAAGUAUAUCCACAUUGGGACCAUAAUAAUCUGGUGGUUUUUCCUUGUCAGGAUAAAUCCUUUCUACUUGAUACCCUGAUUGUACCGAAUAUUUUCCAUUGUUAGUGAAAUGCCAACCAUUUCUAUCUUCCAUCUGAAUUCUACUCAGAGGAAUACCUUCAAUCAACUUUGCAUCCUCGGGCUCCACCAAAGUCCUAAGUGCCUGUAAAUUCCAAGUGCGAGAUUCCUGAUGAAUAAGGGAAUCCACUGUAAGAUCCGGGUAACUAUUGUGAAAAUUUUUAUUAGCUGGUCUCGGGCGAGUGGAUGGGAUCCAGGGAUCGUUCCAUACUGAGAUAGAUGAUCCUGUACCCACCCUUUUAAUUAGUCCUUUACAAACCAGAGAUCUAGCAGAGGUGAUACUCCUCCAGCCAUACGACGGGGAAUAUGAGCGAAUCGGAUCCAGGGGUGAAGCAUUCCUGUAAUACCGUCCUUUGAAAACUCGAGAGAAAAUAGAAUUUGGCUUCUCGAUCAGCCUCCACAAUUGCUUUCCAAGCAUUGCCGUAUUAAAAUCAUUAAGAUCCUUGAAACCUAACCCACCAUUAUCUUUGGUUUCACAUAAUUUAUCCCAUGAUUUCCAAUGCAUACCUUUUGUACUUCCUCCUGGACUCCACCAAAACUGAGCAACCGCACUCGUUAAUUUCUUCACUGUGGCUUUCGGUAAUCGAUACACCGACAUUACAUGGUUUGGUAGGGCCGUUAUGACUGAUUUAAUAAUCACCUCUUUUUCCCUUUGGUGAAAAAUCUAAAAGUCCAACCAUUCACCCUAUUAUUCAACCGAUCUUGUACAAAACCAAACACCUGAACCUUGGAUCCUCCUAAGCUUUCCGGCAAUCCCAAAUAGGAACCCAUUCCUCCUAAAUUCUGAAUCCCCAAAAUAUCUCGCAAUUCCUGACGGCUUGAUUCCUCAAUCUUAUGUCCAAAUUGAAUUGAAGAUUUUUGAAAAUUAAUUUGUUGUCCUGACACAGCCUCAUAAUCCUUUAGUAUCCUAAGAAUAGUAUGACACUCUUCUUUAUUGGCCUUGCAAAAGAACAAACUAUCAUCCGCAAAUAGCAGAUGAGAAACAGCUGGACACGCUCGGGCUACCUUCAUACCGGUUAAUUGUUUCAUCCGCUCUGCCUUUUUGAUAUUCAUAAUUAGAGCCUCUGUGCACAUAAUAAAUAAAUAAGGAGAUAAUGGAUCUCCCUGCCGUAAACCCCGCUUAGGGAUAAUGAGACCUCGGGGCUGCCCAUUGAGUAAAACUCUAUAUUGAACUGAAGAUAUACAUUCUUUCAUCAAUUUAACCCAAUGCGGGUCAAAUCCCAUUUUAGUAAGUAAGGCCUCAAUAAAACUCCACUCUAUCCGAUCAUAUGCCUUACUCAUAUCCGUUUUAAUUGCCAUAAACUUAUUUUGACAGGAUUUGUUGGAUCGCAACCCAUGAAACAUUUCCUGCGCAAUAAGAAUAUUGUCCGAUAUUAACCUUCCUGCCACAAAAGCCGAUUGCGUCUCCAAAAUUAAAUGGGGAAGACAAAUCUUCAAUCUUUGACACAAAACUUUCGAAAUGAUCUUAUAACCAACGUUACAUCCGUCCUUUGAAGACUCGAGAGAAAAGAGAAUUUGGCUUCUCGAUCAGUCUCCACAAUUGCUUUCCAAGCAUUGCCGUAUUAAAAUCAUUUAAAUCCUUGAAUCCUAAUCCACUGUUAUCCUUGUGUUCACACAAUUUAUCCCAUGAUUUCCAAUGCAUACCACGUGUACUUUCUCCUGGACUCCACCAAAACUGAGCAACCGCACUCGUUAAUUUUUUCACUGUGGCUUUCGGUAAUCGAUACACCGACAUUACAUGGUUUGGUAGGGCCGUUAUGACUGAUUUAAUAAUCACUUCUUUUCCCCCUUUAGUGAAAAAUCUAAAAUUCCAACCUUUCACCCUAUUAUUCAACCGAUCUUGUACAAAACCAAACACUUGAACCUUGGAUCCUCCUAAGCUUUCCGGCAGUCCCAAAUAAGAACCCAUUCCUCCUAAAUUCCGAAUCCCCAAAAUAUCUCGCAAUUCCUGACGGCUUGAUUCCUCAAUCUUAUGUCCAAAUUGAAUUGAAGAUUUUUGAAAAUUAAUUUGUUGUCCUGACACAGCCUCAUAAUCCUUUAGUAUCCUAAGAAUAGUAUGACACUCUUCUUUAUUGGCCUUGCAAAAGAACAAACUAUCAUCCGCAAAUAGCAGAUGAGAAACAGCUGGACACGCUCGGGCUACCUUCAUACCGGUUAAUUGUUUCAUCCGCUCUGCCUUUUUGAUAUUCAUAAUUAGAGCCUCUGUGCACAUAAUAAAUAAAUAAGGAGAUAAUGGAUCUCCCUGCCGUAAACCCCGCUUAGGGAUAAUGAGACCUCGGGGCUGCCCAUUGAGUAAAACUCUAUAUUGAACUGAAGAUAUACAUUCUUGCAUUAAUUUAACCCAAUGCGGGUCAAAUCCCAUUUUAGUAAGUAAGGCCUCAAUAAAACUCCACUCUAUCCGAUCAUAUGCCUUACUCAUAUCCGUUUUAAUUGCCAUAAACUUAUUUUGACAGGAUUUGUUGGUUCGCAACCCAUGAAACAUUUCCUGCGCAAUAAGAAUAUUGUCCGAUAUUAAUCUUCCUGCCACAAAAGCCGAUUGCGUCUCCGAAAUUAAAUGGGGAAGACAAAUCUUCAAUCUCUGACACAAAACUUUCGAAAUGAUCUUAUAACCAACGUUACAUAGGCUUAUCGGUCUUAGUUCCGCCAUCCUGGUAGGUCUCUCGACUUUUGGGAUCAUACAGAUGUUUGUUAUGUUUAAACGUGAAUCCAUAUCUCCUGAGUUAUUGAUCUUUGUCGUAAAACCAUCAGAAAUGCCUUCUUGAUUUUCUGUCCAUCCCGAUACAAUUGAUUCCAUGAGUCCUUCUUGGCCAAUCCAUCGCUUAUCAAACCUGAAUUGUCCUCUUUUCCGUCCUGGGGCCUUAUCGUCCAAAAAGCUACCACUGGUCUAUGAUCCGAUCCCACCAUUCUCAAAUAUUCUGUAUAAGAAUAUGGAAAAAGUGUAUGCCAUUACUCGUUAGCCAAGGCUCUAUCCAGACGACAUCUAACCGUAAAUGCUCCUUUCUCUUUACCUCUUCGUCCUUGCCAUGACAUUUUAUUACCUCGAGCCGGAAAUUCAAGCAAACCACUAUUUCUAAUCAUAUUAUCGAAGGGGUUGAGUAAAUGUUUUGGGUCAAAAGCCAAAAAGUCUAUGAAUUGCUAUUGCGGAAUUCUUUGUUAACGUGCUGGUUAAGUAUGGUGAAUAAAUAUGAUGCUCAACCAUGAUAGCUUUGAAGUAUUUUUUUUUAUUUUUCUCUGUUUUUUUUCCUGUACUAGAAAAACACUAUAAUAUUUUUAUUCGAAGCCUUAUAAUAAAGUAUUGAAAUGUUUGUUUCGGAUUUGUUGCAUUAUUUAUAAUAAUGAAUAACAUAAAUUUUAAUCAAGACACAAUGGUUAGUAUAAUCAGUG
Molecule: long non-coding RNA, 6218 nt
Filed under: Brassica napus (rape)
Lineage: Eukaryota; Viridiplantae; Streptophyta; Magnoliopsida; Brassicales; Brassicaceae
Description: long non-coding RNA (BNAP_LNC004114)
Source: RNAcentral